UUCCAUGGUAGGCCUGAGAAGAAUGUCAGGGACAAGUCUGCUCUUCCCUAUUCCUGCAGAUCACAGUCUGGAGCUUCCAAUAUGAUUCCAAGGAAGUCUAUUUGAAAUAUGGCCCUGUUACAACCAGAGAUAGGGCUUUGUUCGGUCAGAUGGGUCCAGGUUUCCCUUUGAUGAUGUUACUCAUUAAAAUCUCUAAAUAUUUCUCCAGACAAUUAAGAAGAGUUGAUGAACAUUCGCCCAGUUUCCCUGAGAGGCCAGCUGGUGCUAAGGUGGAGCUCUGGGGACUGGAGAGGAGGAGGAGUCAGAGUCUGCUUCCUUGAGAAGGCCAGAAGUCAGAGAAGAAAACUUAGCCAGCAAGCACAGGUACCGCCCUUGCUGCCCAUUGGAAUUGUGGAAGCAGGAAGGACCACCUAGCAUUUGUUCUUUUCUUGAGUUGGUUUUGCCUCAAUAGAGGCAGAAAUGGAGCAGCUGUAAGCAGCUAGUCCUGGGGCAGGUAAUGAAAAAGCGUGGCUUUCUUGGCCCUGAUUGCAACCCUCUGUGCAGAUGAGCUUAACUUGGGGCAGCCAACUUGAGAAGGAAGGAGUCUGGAAGAGAUAAUUGUGGACAACAGAGAGCUGGCCUGAAGAUAUUCUGCUGAAUUCUGCAUAUCUCUGAACAGACAUCAGAUAUCAGACACUAAAUUUUCAAGAUGCCUCCAAUCCACAAAAUAGAAGAAAGAAGGAAAAAAGAGACAGGGAUCUUUUUUUGUCAGGAAUCUUGAACUCUGUUGAUUGUAGAAGGCUGUUGGAUAUAAAUGCAUAAAGAAACAUAAAGGAAGGAUGCAUAUGUGUGUGCAUGCACAUGUGCAAAUUCCUGGCAAUACCUGCCUGCAGCCUUCUUCUGCUUCUCCAAGAUAUGUCUGUACAUAAGCUUACAAU
RNAcentral lists this long non-coding RNA (917 nucleotides) under Mus spicilegus (steppe mouse). RNAcentral's name for it is "lncRNA (ENSMSIG00000012282.1)". The record is from RNAcentral. Lineage: Eukaryota; Metazoa; Chordata; Mammalia; Rodentia; Muridae.